AACUCUCUCGCGUYUUAUUCACUUAGGACAACGGAGGGGACGCCUUGGAGUUGGAGAGGUAAACCCUUCACGGGGUUCCAUCCGAUCUAGCUCCGUCGGGCGUCCUGUAAUCCUCCCAGCAAUGGGAGGGUCAGGCGUUUGCCGUACAGCCGUUGUAGAUUUGCAGGCGAAAGGGAAUCUGGUAC
This 185-nucleotide ribosomal RNA is filed under the name Euphausia pacifica (North Pacific krill). RNAcentral's name for it is "partial 28S large subunit ribosomal RNA". The record is from RNAcentral. Lineage: Eukaryota; Metazoa; Arthropoda; Malacostraca; Euphausiacea; Euphausiidae.